CCUGAGCUGCUUUUAGGGGAGGAUUUGUAGAGAACCAGAGCCAGAAUCCAAUUUCAUGGACAGUGUGGUAGCCUAUGAUAUAUGACUAAAUAGUUGACUCACCUAAUAGAAUCUGACUUGUUAACAUCAACAUACUUACAAUUACGAAGAAAGAUUACAAUUUUAGUUAUUUGAUAAUUUCCCUUGCAUUAUUAAUGUGGCAGUAGUAACAGCUAAUAUUUGUAACGAGGAUGAUUACCUCGUUUCUUACUCAAACAAUCAUUUUAUGAGUGGAAGCCCCAUUUCACAAAAGAGGAAACUGAAGCUCUCAAAAGGGUAGGUGGGGUGGCUGGGAUUAUAGCUCAGGGGUAGAGCACUUGCUUAGCAUGUGUGAGGCACUGCAUUUGAUCCUUAGCACCACAUAAAAAUAAAUAAAAUGAAGGUAUUUUGUCCAUCUACAACUAAAAAGAUGUAAAUAUUAAAAAAGAAUGGGUAGGUG
RNAcentral lists this long non-coding RNA (478 nucleotides) under Marmota monax (woodchuck). The record is from RNAcentral. Lineage: Eukaryota; Metazoa; Chordata; Mammalia; Rodentia; Sciuridae.